AUUGAACGCUGGCGGCAGGCUUAACACAUGCAAGUCGAGCGAGCGGCGGACGGGUGAGUAAUGUCUGGGCAACUGCCUGAUGGAGGGGGCUAACUACUGGAAACGGUAGCUAAUACCGCUUACCAUCAGAUGUGCCCAGAUGGGAUUAGCUAGUAGGUGGGGUAAUGGCUCACCUAGGCGACGCUCCCUAGCUGGUCUGAGAGGAGGACCGGCCAAACUGGAACUGAGAAACGGCCCAGACUCCUACGGGAGGCAGAGGUGGGGAAUAUUGCAAAAUGGGCGCAAGCCUGAUGAAGCCAUGCCGCGUGGGUGAAGAAGGCCUUCGGGUUGUAAAGCACUUUCAGCGAGGAGGCGUUACUCGCAGAAGAAGCAACGGCUAACUCCGUGCCAGCAGCCGCGGUAAUAC
Molecule: ribosomal RNA, 406 nt
Filed under: uncultured bacterium
Lineage: Bacteria
Description: partial 16S ribosomal RNA
Rfam family: Bacterial small subunit ribosomal RNA
Source: RNAcentral